RNAcentral lists this ribosomal RNA (440 nucleotides) under uncultured bacterium. Its description in RNAcentral is "partial 16S ribosomal RNA". It matches the Rfam family "Bacterial small subunit ribosomal RNA", at positions 338 to 795 of the family's 1533-position model. The record is from RNAcentral.
CCUACGGGAGGCAGCAGUAGGGAAUAUUGCUCAAUGGGGGAAACCCUGAAGCAGCAACGCCGCGUGCAGGUUGAAGGUUUUCGGAUUGUAAACUCCUUUUGUUAGAGAAGAUAAUGACGGUAUCUAACGAAUAAGCACCGGCUAACUCCGUGCCAGCAGCCGCGGUAAUACGGAGGGUGCAAGCGUUACUCGGAAACACUGGGCGUAAAGAGCGCGUAGGCGGGAUAGCAAGUCAGAUGUGAAAUCCUAUGGGUUAACCAUAGAACUGCAUUUGAAACUGUUAUUCUAGAGUAUGGGAGAGGUAGGUGGAAUUCUUGGUGUAGGGGUAAAAUCCGUAGAGAUAAAGAGGAAUACUAAUUGCGAAGGCGACCUGCUAGAACAUAACUGACGCUGAUGCGCGAAAGCGUGGGGAGCAAACAGGAUUAGAUACCCUUGUAGUC